Molecule: long non-coding RNA, 668 nt
Filed under: Numida meleagris (helmeted guineafowl)
Lineage: Eukaryota; Metazoa; Chordata; Aves; Galliformes; Numididae
Description: lncRNA (ENSNMEG00000017157.1)
Source: RNAcentral
GGAUUUCAUUUCCUGGAAGCUUGAAUAUAUGAAAGGCUCACAUGAGACAAAGUAUUUUCUUUGCCUCCAGUGCUGAGUUAAAGACUUAGCAAGCCUGAAUCAGCAUUUGAGGAAAACCUGCUAUCAGAGAAGAGGGAGUACAUACCUACUUACCAGCAAACGCUUAAUACAAGAAUAUUUUCACCUAUAUGAUAGAUUUCAAAAUACAAACUGUCGUCUUUAACAUACAAAAGCAGCUGCUAACUUUUUUUCCAUUACCAACACAACUUUCAACGCUAUUAAAAAUCAGAUGAAUUGGAAAGUGUUUUCAUAAAUAAACACCUUCAACAGUUUGUAUAAUUUCACUGAAUGAAAACCUCAUCCUUUAUCAACUUCUUGCAUGCAAGUUUGAUGCAACUGGUGGCAAGAACGUUAUGUCAACUAAGAGUGGUAACUACAUAAAUAAUCUAAAUGCCUGCCAACCCUCCUCCUCAGGUCAUUUUCUGUCUCUAAGGGUUAACUGGAGUUCACUGAUAACCUGCUGAAGUUCCUUACAACACAUAGCCACCGAGGAAGCUAUGCCAUGGCAUUCAAUAGCACUCUUGUUUUGAAGUGUUAUCUCAAUGCACAACUGUACAUUAAAACACUUUUAAAAUAAAGUUGAGCUUGGCUGUAUUGUAAGUACUGAA